RNAcentral lists this ribosomal RNA (740 nucleotides) under uncultured archaeon. RNAcentral describes it as "bacterial SSU rRNA". It matches the Rfam family "Archaeal small subunit ribosomal RNA", at positions 1 to 750 of the family's 1478-position model. The record is from RNAcentral.
UUCCGGUUGAUCCCGCCGGACCCGACUGCUAUCAGAGUGGGACUAAGCCAUGCGAGUCGACGUAGCAAUGCGUGGCGAACGGCUCAGUAACACGUAGUCAACAUGCCCAGGGGACGUGGAUAACCUCGGGAAACUGAGAAUAAACCACGAUAGGUCACGAUUUCUGGAAUGGAUCAUGGCCUAAAUCUACAUGGCCCCUGGAUUGGACUGCGGCCGAUCAGGCAGUUGGUGAGGUAAUGGCCCACCAAACCUAUAACCGGUACGGGCUCUGAGAGGAGAAGCCCGGAGAUGGGCACUGAGACAAGGGCCCAGGCCCUAUGGGGCGCAGCAGGCGCGAAACCUCUGCAAUAGGCGAAAGCCUGACAGGGUUACUCUGAGUGAUUUCCGCUAAGGGGAUCUUUUGGCACCUCUAAAAAUGGUGCAGAAUAAGGGGUGGGCAAGUCUGGUGUCAGCCGCCGCGGUAAUACCAGCACCCCGAGUGGUCGGGACGAUUAUUGGGCCUAAAGCAUCCGUAGCCGGUUCUGCAAGUCUUCCGUUAAAUCCAGCCGCUCAACGGAUGGGCCGCGGAGGAUACUACAGGACUAGGAGGCGGGAGAGGCAAGCGGUACUCAGUGGGUAGGGGUAAAAUCCUUUGAUCCAUUGAAGACCACCAGUGGCGAAGGCGGCUUGCCAGAACGCGCUCGACGGUGAGGGAUGAAAGCUGGGGAAGCAAACCGGAUUAGAUACCCGGGUAGUCCCAG